RNAcentral lists this ribosomal RNA (250 nucleotides) under uncultured bacterium. RNAcentral's name for it is "partial 16S ribosomal RNA". It matches the Rfam family "Bacterial small subunit ribosomal RNA", at positions 524 to 776 of the family's 1533-position model. The record is from RNAcentral.
GACUGGGGGGCAAGUGUUCUUCGGAAUGACUGGGCGUAAAGGGCACGUAGGCGGUGAAUCGGGUUGAAAGUGAAAGUUGCCAAAAAGUGGUGGAAUGCUCUCGAAACCAAUUCACUUGAGUGAGACAGAGGAGAGUGGAAUUUCGUGUGUAGGGGUGAAAUCCGUAGAUAUCGGGAGGAACACCUGUGGCGAAAGCGGCUCACUGGACCGCAACUGACGCUGAGGCGCGAAAGCUAGGGGAGCAAACAGG